Molecule: ribosomal RNA, 425 nt
Filed under: uncultured bacterium
Lineage: Bacteria
Description: partial 16S ribosomal RNA
Rfam family: Bacterial small subunit ribosomal RNA
Source: RNAcentral
GUGGGGAAUAUUGGGCAAUGGGCGAAAGCCUGACCCAGCAACGCCGCGUAAAGGAAGAAGGUCUUCGGAUCGUAAACUUCUAUCCUUGGUGAAGAUAAUGACGGUAGCCGAGAAGGAAGCCCCGGCUAACUACGUGCCAGCAGCCGCGGUAAUACGUAGGGGGCAAGCGUUGUCCGGAAUGAUUGGGCGUAAAGGGCGCGUAGGCGGCCUGGUAAGUCUGGAGUGAAAGUCCUGCUUUUAAGGUGGGAAUUGCUUUGGAUACUGUCGGGCUUGAGUGCAGGAGAGGUAAGUGGAAUUCCCGGUGUAGCGGUGAAAUGCGUAGAGAUCGGGAGGAACACCAGUGGCGAAGGCGACUUACUGGACUGUAACUGACGCUGAGGCGCGAAAGUGUGGGGAGCAAACAGGAUUAGAAACCCGGGUAGUCC